This 510-nucleotide ribosomal RNA is filed under the name uncultured bacterium. RNAcentral's name for it is "partial 16S ribosomal RNA". It matches the Rfam family "Bacterial small subunit ribosomal RNA", at positions 28 to 523 of the family's 1533-position model. The record is from RNAcentral.
GACGAACGCUGGCGGCGUGCCUAAUACAUGCAAGUCGAGCGAAUGAUGAGGAGCUUGCUCCUCUGAUUUAGCGGCGGACGGGUGAGUAACACGUGGGCAACCUGCCCUGUAGACUGGGAUAACUUCGGGAAACCGGAGCUAAUACCGGAUAAUUCUUUUAGCCUCAUGGCUUUAAGCUAAAAGGCGCUUCGGUGUCACUACAGGAUGGGCCCGCGGUGCAUUAGCUAGUUGGUGGGGUAACGGCCUACCAAGGCAACGAUGCAUAGCCGACCUGAGAGGGUGAUCGGCCACAGUGGGACUAGGACACGGCCCAAACUCCUACGGGAGGCAGCAGUAGGGAAUCUUCCACAAUGGACGAAAGUCUGAUGUAGCAACGCCGCGUGAGUGAUGAAGGUUUUCGGAUCGUAAAACUCUGUUGUAAGGGAAGAACAAGUGCGUUAGGUAAUGAACGCACCUUGACGGUACCUUAUUAGAAAGCCACGGCUAACUACGUGCCAGCAGCCGCAGUAA